GACGAACGCUGGCGGCGUGCCUAAUACAUGCAAGUAGAACGCACAGUUUAUACCGUAGCUUGCUACACCAUAGACUGUGAGUUGCGAACGGGUGAGUAACGCGUAGGUAACCUGCCUGGUAGCGGGGGAUAACUAUUGGAAACGAUAGCUAAUACCGCAUAAUAUUGAUUAUUGCAUGAUAAUUAAUUGAAAGGUGCAAUUGCACCACUACCAGAUGGACCUGCGUUGUAUUAGCUAGUAGGUGAGGUAACGGCUCACCUAAGCGACGAUACAUAGCCGACCUGAGAGGGUGAUCGGCCACACUGGGACUGAGACACGGCCCAGACUCCUACGGGAGGCAGCAGUAGGGAAUCUUCGGCAAUGGACGAAAGUCUGACCGAGCAACGCCGCGUGAGUGAAGAAGGUUUUCGGAUCGUAAAGCUCUGUUGUAAGAGAAGAACGGGUGUGAGAGUGGAAAGUUCACACUGUGACGGUAUCUUACCAGAAAGGGACGGCUAACUACGUG
This 505-nucleotide ribosomal RNA is filed under the name uncultured bacterium. RNAcentral's name for it is "partial 16S ribosomal RNA". It matches the Rfam family "Bacterial small subunit ribosomal RNA", at positions 28 to 507 of the family's 1533-position model. The record is from RNAcentral.